Molecule: non-coding RNA, 661 nt
Organism: Cajanus cajan (pigeon pea)
Lineage: Eukaryota; Viridiplantae; Streptophyta; Magnoliopsida; Fabales; Fabaceae
Source: RefSeq, a predicted model, not a curated record
GAUUACCCAAGCAUGCUUUUGUCAGACACUUCUCCCAAUAUUCCUGUUAAUUUACUAACCAAUUUGUCUAGUCAGCAUAAGAAAUUCCCCUCCAUUCUUCCCUUUUGUUACCUUUUGGAAUGAAACCCAAAUCAUAGGCCUCCUUAUCCAUUGUGCCUAAAUCCAACAAUUGGUCCAAUUCCUGUUUAGGCCUGGAACUCAGUAUGUUAAAUUAGAUACAAUCAAAAUCUCAAGUUUUUGAAUUAAUCAGUUAAGUAUUGUUAGUAAAAUAAAUAACAUUUUUUAUACUCAUCAUCUGAUCUGGUGAAUGUGUAUCAAUUGUGUGCAAAUUUCCUGUAUUUGAAAGAUUCACUGCUAUGAGAAAAACUUGAUUCGGAAAUUCUGAGGUUUCCCUUGUGUUUGAAAUUAGUAUUAACAAAUGUGUAAAUGUGUUAUUGUAAAUGGAAUGACAAUUGCAGUGACAUGGAAAUAGAUUUUGGAUCUGAAGAGAAUGCUUCCAUUGUAUUUUCUGCCUUAGCCGUUGACAAAGAGUUGCAACCCGAUAAAGUAAAACGACUCAUGACAGUGUCUGAUGGAAAGCUAUCAGCAUAAUUUAGCUUCGUGGGCAUGCUGAAUGUGUAAUCUUAUUUCUUCCGUUCUCCUUACGAUGCAUCUCAUUCAG